AAGGUCGUGGGGAGGCUGGGGCAGUUAGAGGAAAAGUGGGCCGACGGAAGUGUUGAGAAGUGCAGCGGGGAGAUCAAACCGAACGCUACCGUUUUGGUUCUAUUUAACUUCAGUGGAAGCUGCAAUGGUAAUAGAAGAGUGUCAGACCUGUCAGUAGUUUCGCAUCGUAGGGGCAGGGCGGAGUGAAAAGCAACAAAAGGCCUAUGAGAAGGGCUGUGUGUGUGCGGUUCCUCGUUAGUAUAGUGCAAGAGUUUUAGGAAGACCUGUGAAAUGAGAAGCAACCAACACAUGGGAAAUGGGAAGCAGAUCGCAACAGGCCCCUAAAGAAAGUUUGCAACAUUAGCAAUGAUCCUAUGUUUUUGAAAUUCAGGAAAUUGCAACUGGUGCAUUAACGCUUUCCUUAAAAGGGUUAUACAUCUGGUAUGGGAGAGACCAUUAGUUACUCCCCAAUAUCUGUAUUUCUUUUCGUCCUUAGUAGUAAAACCCUCGAUAUUUAGCUGGACACAUGGCCUCCCAGGAGACUACAUUUCCCAGCCUUUUUUGCAGUUAUGACCAUGUCACUAAGUUCUCGCCAAUAGAAGACUUGAUGGCUGGAGCUCUAACUGCCAUGGUGCAUCAUGAGAUUGGAACCAUGUGCUGAGGGUGGUGGAGUAGCAACGUAGAAGGAACUACGAGCUGGAAAUAGCCAGGUCUCUGGUAAUCAUGGACCUCCCUUGGGGACUGCCUGCUUCUAGCUUUCUUUUCCUGGAGAGAGAAAUAAACUUCCACUUUGUUGAAGACAGUGUCAUUUUGAGUUUUCUAUCAUUCACAGGGAACUCAGUAUUUA
Diceros bicornis minor is the source of this 826-nucleotide long non-coding RNA. RefSeq lists it as uncharacterized. Lineage: Eukaryota; Metazoa; Chordata; Mammalia; Perissodactyla; Rhinocerotidae. The record is from RefSeq and is a predicted model, not a curated record. The transcript has 4 exons.